This 253-nucleotide ribosomal RNA is filed under the name uncultured bacterium. RNAcentral's name for it is "partial 16S ribosomal RNA". It matches the Rfam family "Bacterial small subunit ribosomal RNA", at positions 524 to 776 of the family's 1533-position model. The record is from RNAcentral.
UACGAAGGGGGCUAGCGUUGUUCGGAAUUACUGGGCGUAAAGCGCACGUAGGCGGAUUCUUAAGUCUGGGGUGAAAGCCCGGAGCUCAACUCCGGAACUGCCUUGGAUACUGGGAGUCUCGAGGAUGGAAGAGGUCAGUGGAAUGCCGAGUGUAGAGGUGAAAUUCGUAGAUAUUCGGCGGAACACCAGUGGCGAAGGCGACUGGCUGGUCCAUUUCUGACGCUGAGGUGCGAAAGUGUGGGGAGCAAAUAGG